RNAcentral lists this ribosomal RNA (1342 nucleotides) under uncultured bacterium. Its description in RNAcentral is "16S ribosomal RNA". It matches the Rfam family "Bacterial small subunit ribosomal RNA", at positions 28 to 1378 of the family's 1533-position model. The record is from RNAcentral.
GACGAACGCUGGCGGCGUGCUUAACACAUGCAAGUCGAACGGAAAGGCCCUGCUUUUGUGGGGUGCUCGAGUGGCGAACGGGUGAGUAACACGUGAGUAACCUGCCCUUGACUUUGGGAUAACUUCAGGAAACUGGGGCUAAUACCGGAUAGGAGCUCCUGCUGCAUGGUGGGGGUUGGAAAGUUUCGGCGGUUGGGGAUGGACUCGCGGCUUAUCAGCUUGUUGGUGGGGUAGUGGCUUACCAAGGCUUUGACGGGUAGCCGGCCUGAGAGGGUGACCGGCCACAUUGGGACUGAGAUACGGCCCAGACUCCUACGGGAGGCAGCAGUGGGGAAUAUUGCACAAUGGGCGGAAGCCUGAUGCAGCAACGCCGCGUGCGGGAUGACGGCCUUCGGGUUGUAAACCGCUUUCGCCUGUGACGAAGCGUGAGUGACGGUAAUGGGUAAAGAAGCACCGGCUAACUACGUGCCAGCAGCCGCGGUGAUACGUAGGGUGCGAGCGUUGUCCGGAUUUAUUGGGCGUAAAGGGCUCGUAGGUGGUUGAUCGCGUCGGAAGUGUAAUCUUGGGGCUUAACCCUGAGCGUGCUUUCGAUACGGGUUGACUUGAGGAAGGUAGGGGAGAAUGGAAUUCCUGGUGGAGCGGUGGAAUGCGCAGAUAUCAGGAGGAACACCAGUGGCGAAGGCGGUUCUCUGGGCCUUUCCUGACGCUGAGGAGCGAAAGCGUGGGGAGCGAACAGGCUUAGAUACCCUGGUAGUCCACGCUGUAAACGGUGGGUACUAGGUGUGGGGUCCAUUCCACGGGUUCCGUGCCGUAGCUAACGCUUUAAGUACCCCGCCUGGGGAGCACGGCCGCAAGGCUAAAACUCAAAGGAAUUGACGGGCCCCGCACAAGCGGCGGAGCAUGCGGAUUAAUUCGAUGCAACGCGUAGAACCUUACCUGGGUUUGACAUGGAUCGGGAGUGCUCAGAGAUGGGUGUGCCUCUUUUGGGGUCGGUUCACAGGUGGUGCAUGGCUGUCGUCAGCUCGUGUCGUGAGAUGUUGGGUUAAGUCCCGCAACGAGCGCAACCCUUGUUCACUGUUGCCAGCACGUUAUGGUGGGGACUCAGUGGAGACCGCCGGGGUCAACUCGGAGGAAGGUGGGGAUGACGUCAAGUCAUCAUGCCCCUUAUGUCCAGGGCUUCACGCAUGCUACAAUGGCUGGUACAGAGAGUGGCGAGCCUGUGAGGGUGAGCGAAUCUCGGAAAGCCGGUCUCAGUUCGGAUUGGGGUCUGCAACUCGACCUCAUGAAGUCGGAGUCGCUAGUAAUCGCAGAUCAGCAACGCUGCGGUGAAUACGUUCCCGGG